UUUAUGGGAUUUUGAGAAGUAUGGGAAAUUCUGGGGAGAAUUUUGGGGUCAAUUUAUGGGAUUUGGGGAGAAAUUUGGGUCAUUUUGGGGUGAAUGUAUGGAAUUUUGGAGAGAGUUGGGGGGAAUUGGGGUCAUUUUGGGAUCGUUUUGUGGGAUUUGGGGGAGAAUUGGGGAAAGUUUGGGUCAUUGGGUAUCAUUUUAUGGGAUUUUGGGGGAAAUUUGGGUCAUUGGGGAUCAUUUUAUGGGAUUUUGGGGAGAAUUGGGUGAAAUUUGGGUCAUUUGGGGUCAUUUUAUGGGAUUUUGGGGGAGAAUUGGGUCAUUUGGGGUCAUUUUAUGGGAUUUUAGGGAGAAUUGGGGGAAAUUUGGGUCAUUUUGGGUCAAUUUAUGGGAUUUGGGGGGAAAUUUGUGUCCUUUUGAGGUCAUUUCAUGGGAUUUUAGGGAGAAUUGGGUGAAAUUUGGGUCAUUUGGGGUCUAUUUAUGGGAUUUUGGGGGAAAUUUGUGUCCUUUUGGGGUCAUUUUAUGGGAUUUUGGGGAGGAUUUCGGUCAUUCUGGGGCAUUUGAUGGGAUUUUGGGGGAAAUUUGUGUCCUUUUGGGGUCAUUCUAUGGGAUUUUAGGGAGAAUUGGGGGAAAUUUGGGUCAUUUGGGGUCAAUUUAUGGGGUUUGGGGGGAAAAUUUGGUCAUUUUGGGUCAUUAUAUGGGAUUUUGGGGAGAGUUAUGGGAAAUUUGGGAUCAUUUUAUGGGAUUUUGGGGCGAGAUGUGGGAAAUUUGGGUCAUUUUGGGUCAUUUUAUGGGAUUUUGGGGGAGAAUUGGGGAAAUUUGGGUCAUUUUGGGUCAAUUUAUGGGAUUUGGGGGGAAAUUUGGGUCAUUUGGGAUCAUUUUAUGCGAUUUUGGGGAGAAUUGGGGAAAUUUGGGGUCAUUUUAUGGGAUUUUGGGGAGAAUUGGGGGAAAUUUGGGUCAUUUGGGGUCUAUUUAUGGGAUAUUGGGGAAAAUUUGGGUCCUUUUGGGGCCUUUUAUGGGAUUUUGGGGAGAAUUGGGUGAAAUUUGGGUCAUUUUGGGUCAUUUUAUGGGAUUUUGGGGAGAAUUGGGUGAAAUUGGGGUCAUUUGGGGUCAUUUUAUGGGAUUUUGGGGGAGAAUUGGGGGAAAUUUGGGUCAUUUGGGGUCAUUUUGUGGGAUUUUGGGGAAAAUUUGGGUCCUUUUGGGUCAUUUGAUGGGAUUUUGGGGAGAAUUGGGUGAAAUUUGGGUCACUUGGGGUCAUUUGAUGGGAUUUUGGGGGAAAUUUGUGUCCUUUUGGGGACAUUCUAUGGGAUUUGGGGGAGAGUUAUGGGAAAUUUGGGAUCAUUUUAUGGGAUUUUGGGGAGAAAUGUGGGAAAUUUGUGUCAUUUGGGGGCAUUUUAUGGGAUUUCAGGGAGAAUUAUGGGAUAUUUUGGGUCGUUUGGAGUCAUUUUAUGGGAUUUGGGGGGGGAGAAUUGGGGAAACAUUUCGGGUCAUUUGA
RNAcentral lists this long non-coding RNA (1492 nucleotides) under Phasianus colchicus (ring-necked pheasant). RNAcentral describes it as "lncRNA (ENSPCLG00000017639.1)". The record is from RNAcentral. Lineage: Eukaryota; Metazoa; Chordata; Aves; Galliformes; Phasianidae.